ACAAAGAGAGCCCAGAGACCUCUGCUUUUACACUUUAAGAUGCUGUUUGCCUACCUGCAAGAUCUGGCAGAGGUUCAAGAAAAGGUUUUUUUGGAGUUUGCAGCCAGGAGGUGUUAAGGUGACCACCCUCUGGGUGUAGCAGAUGUAAGCUUGUUCAAAAUUAAACAAAAACUGCAUUGGUAGACAAAAUAAAACAGUGGUUUUUGCCACC
This is a non-coding RNA of Cyanistes caeruleus (blue tit), 211 nucleotides long. NCBI's taxonomy places the organism in Eukaryota, Metazoa, Chordata, Aves, Passeriformes, Paridae. The record is from RefSeq and is a predicted model, not a curated record.